RNAcentral lists this ribosomal RNA (863 nucleotides) under uncultured bacterium. Its description in RNAcentral is "bacterial SSU rRNA". It matches the Rfam family "Bacterial small subunit ribosomal RNA", at positions 26 to 896 of the family's 1533-position model. The record is from RNAcentral.
AGGACGAACGCUGGCGGCGUGCCUAACACAUGCAAGUCGAACGAGGUCCAUCCGGUGGCAACACCGGUGAAGACCGAGUGGCGAACGGGUGAGUAACACGUGAGCAACCUGCCCCGAAGACCGGGAUAACCCCGGGAAACCGGAGCUAAUACCGGAUGUCCCCACCGGGUCACAUGGCCUGGCGAGGAAAUGGAUUCCGCUUCGGGAGGGGCUCGCGGCCUAUCAGCUUGUUGGUGGGGUAACGGCCCACCAAGGCUACGACGGGUAGCUGGUCUGAGAGGACGAUCAGCCACACUGGGACUGAGACACGGCCCAGACUCCUACGGGAGGCAGCAGUGGGGAAUCUUGCGCAAUGGGCGAAAGCCUGACGCAGCAACGCCGCGUGAGGGACGAAGGCCUUCUGGGUUGUAAACCUCUUUCAGCAGGGACGAUUAUGACGGUACCUGCAGAAGAAGCCCCGGCCAACUACGUGCCAGCAGCCGCGGUAAUACGUAGGGGCGAGCGUUGUCCGGAAUCAUUAGGCGUAAAGAGCUCGUAGGCGGCUUUGCAAGUCGGGUGUUAAAAUUCCAGGCUCAACCUGGAGCUGCCACUCGAUACUGCAAUGGCUUGAGUCCGGUAGGGGACCAUGGAAUUCCUGGUGUAGCGGUGAAAUGCGCAGAUAUCAGGAAGAACACCAGUGGCGAAGGCGGUGGUCUGGGCCGGAACUGACGCUGAGGAGCGAAAGCGUGGGGAGCGAACAGGAUUAGAUACCCUGGUAGUCCACGCCGUAAACGUUGGGCACUAGGUGUGGGGACCUAUCGACGGUUUCCGUGCCGCAGCUAACGCAUUAAGUGCCCCGCCUGGGGAGUACGGCCGCAAGGCUA